RNAcentral lists this long non-coding RNA (1299 nucleotides) under Phasianus colchicus (ring-necked pheasant). Its description in RNAcentral is "lncRNA (ENSPCLG00000008755.1)". Lineage: Eukaryota; Metazoa; Chordata; Aves; Galliformes; Phasianidae. The record is from RNAcentral.
CCCCCGGCAAAUCUGUGCGUGGCUCUGCGGUGCGCGGGAGGAGGCGAUCCGGGGAAGUUUGCAGCGGGGAGUGACUUGAGGAGGGAUAGAUACACACAUAAAUAGACGGGGGCCGGAGGGAAGGAGGCAGCGGCAGCCGGCGGUACCCAAAAGGGAGACACGCGCGCCGCGCGCACACACACACACACGCGGAAAGUUGCUGGGAGAAGUUUCCCUCCUGCGAGGAAAAGGCGGUCGCCCCCCCCCCCGCCCCCCCCUCCCUCCCUAAGUCCAAAGACAAUCCAUGGAUGUGAUCGGCCCCUUCACGAGUUGUGCAAACGAUUUGUUAGUUCAUGAGCCUAAUUAGUGCUGGGAUCACAUAAACAGCUUCCUCUGAAGCCUGGUAAAUGGCUUGAUGAUUGGUCGCUAUUACUCGCCUCGAGGUUGAAGGGGGAGACUCUUUAAAGUGCGUCAGAGGGGAGGCGAAGCGCCGGGCAGCGCCAUCGGGAGGGAUGGAGCCGCGGAUCGGAGUGCGCCGGGAGGGGGGAGCGCGCACAUCCGCGCAGCCGCGCCCCGGACCGCCUCUGCGCAGCGCCGACAGCCGCCGACAGAGUGUGAAGGCCCAUCUGUGCUUUCUGCUGCAAGCUACAAAACCAGAAGUUUCCUUGUCCUGGAAAGGGUGAUUUUUAUCCAAGAUCUUAAAAGAGGAGUGAGCCACGUGACUGUAGGGAUGCAGUCCAACCGACUCAUGAGGGGCUCAGCAGAGGGAGAUGAGGCACGUGGUAGGUAGUGUCUCAGUCCUGUGGUGAUGGAGAGCUUCCCAUGGGAUCGCAUCAGCGCUGAUGCUAUUGGUGAGUGAAUGCAGUUGGAUGAGUCACAGCUUGUAAGGGAGAUCCAGAUCCUUGCAGUUACCCAUCUCCAUCAGUCCUAAAGCCUUGGAGCAGUGUAGGCUAUCACGUCCAUCGAUUUCAGAGGGGCUGAACACCAUAACAUGUCUCCCUAUGGAUUUCUGAGCAGAUGUCUUGAAUGCCAACCUCUGAAAAACAAAAUGGGCGACUUUAAGAUAACCCAGAAAAGAGGAAAAGGGGACAAUAUGAGGUCAUCAAGAACAAAUAACCACACAGAGCACUAGGCUUGCCCAGGUAUACAGCUCACUGAAGCCAAUGAAAAGAUCCUUCACGGUUUCAGCAGAUCAGACCCAGACUUUUUGGCUGAGCAGGCUGGAGUUCUGCCUGCCUCCUGCCUCCUCCCAGGGUGAGUGAAAAGCAGCCCAGAGACAAUAAGGCAAACCCGCCCUUUGAUUUAAGCAAGGCUUGGCCA